This 439-nucleotide ribosomal RNA is filed under the name uncultured bacterium. RNAcentral describes it as "partial 16S ribosomal RNA". It matches the Rfam family "Bacterial small subunit ribosomal RNA", at positions 339 to 795 of the family's 1533-position model. The record is from RNAcentral.
CUACGGGGGGCUGCAGUGGGGAAUAUUGCACAAUGGGCGAAAGCCUGAUGCAGCAACACCGCGUGGAGGAUGACACAUUUCGGUGCGUAAACUCCUUUUAUAUAAGAAGAUAAUGACGGUAUUAUAUGAAUAAGCACCGGCUAACUCCGUGCCAGCAGCCGCGGUAAUACGGGGGGUGCAAGCGUUACUCGGAAUCACUGGGCGUAAAGAGCAUGUAGGCUGGAUGACAAGUUGGAAGUGAAAUCCUAUGGCUUAACCAUAGAACUGCUUCCAAAACUGUCUUCCUAGAGUAUGGGAGAGGUAGAUGGAAUUUCUGGUGUAGGGGUAAAAUCCGUAGAGAUCAGAAGGAAUACCGAUUGCGAAGGCGAUCUACUGGAACAUUACUGACGCUCAGAUGCAAAAGCGUGGGGAGCAAACAGGAUUAGAUACCCGCGUAGUC